Molecule: long non-coding RNA, 314 nt
Filed under: Nicotiana tabacum (common tobacco)
Lineage: Eukaryota; Viridiplantae; Streptophyta; Magnoliopsida; Solanales; Solanaceae
Description: long non-coding RNA (NTAB_LNC005371)
Source: RNAcentral
UGAUUAUUAAGGUCUAAGAGGAGUUUUUGUCUUUGAAGGAUCCAAUGCCAAAAACUCCAGUAACUCCCUCAAACACUUCGAUGCCUCCUUCGUCUCCAAAAACUCCAGUGACUCCCUCAUUGCCAGAAACUCCGGUGACUCCCUCAUUGCCAAAAACUUCAAUGCCUCCCUCAUCGCCAGAAACUCCGGCAACUUCCUCAUUGCCAAAAACUCCGGUACCUUCCUCGUCGCCUAAGACAAAAAGUGUAUCCAAGGCAGAUGUAUCAGAUGCCCAGUUGCAAUCAAAUAUCGACUAUGCAGUGCAAUUCAACCUG